This 492-nucleotide ribosomal RNA is filed under the name uncultured bacterium. RNAcentral's name for it is "partial 16S ribosomal RNA". It matches the Rfam family "Bacterial small subunit ribosomal RNA", at positions 29 to 507 of the family's 1533-position model. The record is from RNAcentral.
AGUGAACGCUGGCGGUAGGCCUAACACAUGCCAGUCGAACGGCAGCACAGUAAACGCUUGCUCUUACGGGUGGCGCGUAGCGGACGGGUGAGGAAUACAUCGGAAUCUACUCUUUCGCGGGGGAUAACGUAGGGAAACCUACGCUAAUACCGCAUACGACCUAUGGGUGAAAGCAUGGGACCUUUGGACCUUGCGCGAGUGAAUGAGCCGAUGUCGGCUUAGCUAGUUGGCGGGGAAAAGACCCACCAAGGCGACGAUCCGUAGCUGGACUGAGUGGAUGAUCAGCAACACUGGAACUGGAAGACGCUCCAGACGCCUACAGGAGGCAGCAGUGAGGAAUAUGAGACAAUGGGCGGAAGCCUGAUCCAGCAAAACCACGUGGGUGAAGAAGGCCUUCGGUUUGUAAAGCCCUUUUGUUGAGAAAGAAAAGCAGCAGGUUAAUACCCCGCUGUUCUGACGGUACCCAAAGAAUAAGCACCGGCUAACUUCGUG